UGGGGCGUAGCCAAGUGGUAAGGCAUCGGGUUUUGAUCUCGUGUACCGUAGGUUCGAAUCCUACCGCCCCAGCCA
Molecule: transfer RNA, 75 nt
Filed under: bacterium
Lineage: Bacteria
Also listed under: 3 other names
Description: tRNA-Gln
Rfam family: tRNA
About the family: Transfer RNA (tRNA) molecules are approximately 80 nucleotides in length. Their secondary structure includes four short double-helical elements and three loops (D, anti-codon, and T loops).
Source: RNAcentral